GUUUAAUUAUAUUUAUAUAUGUAUUAUAUUUAUUAUUAGCUAUUAAUUAAUAUUCUAUUACCAUGGUUGUUAUAAUAACAUAAUUUUAUUAUGCUCAUCAUACAAUAGUUAUUAACAUUAGAAUCUAACUUUGUGCAGUAAAUUUCAAACUAGUUUGAUCAUAUGAAGUUAGUGGUCUUAAUCUUGAUUGUUGUGGGUUCUACCUCAUUUGCUAUCCAAGUUGAGGCCAAAAAUAAGUUUGCUCCACUUGAAUUGGAAGGAAGGGAGAGAAAUUUUUAUCUAUCAUCCCUCAAUUUUGAAAGUUGUUUCAUUUUCAUCAUUUAACUUUAAUUUGUCACCCAAAAAAAAAA
Molecule: unclassified non-coding RNA, 350 nt
Filed under: Hevea brasiliensis (rubber tree)
Lineage: Eukaryota; Viridiplantae; Streptophyta; Magnoliopsida; Malpighiales; Euphorbiaceae
Source: RNAcentral